UGGGGAAUUUUGGACAAUGGGCGCAAGCCUGAUCCAGCCAUGCCGCGUGCGGGAAGAAGGCCUUCGGGUUGUAAACCGCUUUUGUCAGGGAAGAAAUCUUCUGAGUUAAUACCUCGGGAGGAUGACGGUACCUGAAGAAUAAGCACCGGCUAACUACGUGCCAGCAGCCGCGGUAAUACGUAGGGUGCAAGCGUUAAUCGGAAUACUGGGCGUAAAGCGUGCGCAGGCGGUUUUGUAAGACAGAGGUGAAAUCCCCGGGCUCAACCUGGGAACUGCCUUUGUGACUGCAAGGCUUGAGUGCGGCAGAGGGGGGAAUGGAAUUCCGCGUGUAGCAGUGAAAUGCGUAGAUAUGCGGAGGAAACACCGAUGGCGAAGGCAAUCCCCUGGGCCUGCACUGACGCUCAUGCACGAAAGCGUGGGGAGCAAACAGGAUUAGAUAGCCCUGGUAGUCCACGCCCUAAAACGAUGUCAACUGGUUGUUGGGAAGGUUCCUUCUCAGUAACGUAGCUAACGCGUGAAGUUG
Molecule: ribosomal RNA, 523 nt
Filed under: uncultured bacterium
Lineage: Bacteria
Description: partial 16S ribosomal RNA
Rfam family: Bacterial small subunit ribosomal RNA
Source: RNAcentral